AGCGAUAAGGGAACCUCGAGUGCCAGGUUACAAAUCUGGCUGUCGAGAUGCCUAAAAAGCAUUUCAUAGCAAGGGCCGGGCAAGACCGGUGCCAGCCGCCGCGGUAACACCGGCGGCUCGAGUGGUAACCGUUAUUAUUGGGUCUAGAGGGUCUGUAGCCGGCCGGAUAAGUCUCUUGAGAAAUCUGGCAGCUUAACUGUCAGGCUUUCAGGAGAUACUGUCUGGCUCGAGGCCGGGAGAGGUGAGAGGUACUUCAGGGGUAGGGGUGAAAUCUUGUAAUCCUUGAAGGACCACCAGUGGCGAAGGCGUCUCACCAGAACGGACCUGACGGCAAGGGACGAAAGCUAGGGGCACGAACCGGAUUAGAUACCCGGGUAGUCCUAGCCGUAAACGAUACUCGCUAGGUGUCGGCCACGGUGCGACCGUUGUCGGUGCCGUAGGAAGCCGUGAAGCGAGCCACCUGGGAAGUACGGCCGCAAGGCUGAAACUUAAAGGAAUUGGCGGGGGAGC
RNAcentral lists this ribosomal RNA (510 nucleotides) under uncultured archaeon. RNAcentral describes it as "bacterial SSU rRNA". It matches the Rfam family "Archaeal small subunit ribosomal RNA", at positions 366 to 877 of the family's 1478-position model. The record is from RNAcentral.